CCUACGGGAGGCAGCAGUAGGGAAUAUUGCUCAAUGGGGGGAACCCUGAAGCAGCAACGCCGCGUGGAGGAUGAAGGUUUUCGGAUUGUAAACCCCUUUUGUUAGAGAAGAUGAUGACGGUAUCUAACGAAUAAGCACCGGCUAACUCCGUGCCAGCAGCCGCGGUAAUACGGAAGGCCCGAGCGUUAUCCGGAUUCAUUGGGCUUAAAGGGAGCGUAGGCGGGCGUUCAAGUCAGAUGUAAAAUCCCGCGGCUCAACCGCGCACCGCCGUUGAAACUGGACGCCUUGAGUGCACAACAGGCAGGCGGAAUUCGUGGUGUAGCGGUGAAAUGCGUAGAUAUCACGAGGAACCCCGGUGGCGAAUGCAGCUUGCCGGGGUGCGACUGACGCUGAGGCUCGAAGGUGCGGGUAUCAAACAGGAUUAGAUACCCCGGUAGUC
RNAcentral lists this ribosomal RNA (439 nucleotides) under uncultured bacterium. RNAcentral describes it as "partial 16S ribosomal RNA". It matches the Rfam family "Bacterial small subunit ribosomal RNA", at positions 338 to 795 of the family's 1533-position model. The record is from RNAcentral.